Molecule: ribosomal RNA, 355 nt
Filed under: uncultured bacterium
Lineage: Bacteria
Description: partial 16S ribosomal RNA
Rfam family: Bacterial small subunit ribosomal RNA
Source: RNAcentral
UAGGGUGCAAGCGUUGUCCGGAUUUACUGGGCGUAAANAGCUCGUAGGUGGUGUGUCGCGUCNUCUGUGAAAUUCCGGGGCUUAACUCCGGGCGUGCAGGCNAUACGGGCACACUAGAGUGCUGUAGGGGUAACUGGAAUUCCUGGUGUANCGGUGAAAUGCNCAAAUAUCAGGAGGAACACCGAUGGCNAAGGCAGGUUACUGGGCANUUACUGACNCUGAGGAGCGAAAGCAUGGGGAGCGAACAGGAUUAAAUACCCUGGUANUCCAUGCUGUAAACGGUGGGCGCUAGGUGUGGGCUGUGUGUUUGCAGUCUGUGCCGUACCUAACGCAUUAANCGCCCCGCCUGGGGAGU